UGAACUUCAAACUUACAGUCCAAUUACAUGAUUUGGAGCAGGUUAUUGACUAUUUUAACGAGGCACUGGAGGGCUCAAGUAUAGAUCUGUCAUAAGCCAGUAUCUCUGUGUAGACUGAUCUUGGGAAACAAACAAUUACAUGACCGCCACUGCUAAGGCCAUUAAUGAAGCUCUCAGAUGUGGGAACAUAGUCAAGUUUGUGCACUGAAAGGCCCUCGAGGAUGUCAGAUUUAAAGAUUAUUCAAUUCCAUGUGGAUGGAAGGUCCUCCUAGUUUUCAGUGCUUACAUCUAGACACAUCUCGUCAUGGAAGUGUCCUUGACUUCCAUCCUUGGAGACAAUGGUCAAUUGUAGCAAGUACCUUAUCAGCGACAGAGAAGAAUGGUUGCCUUGAUCAUUUUCUUCAGUUAGACGGGCAUAGGUUUCUCAACCAAUGGCUCCAAGAAACUCAAAAGUGUAGUGGUGGCACAAGUGACAGUUAUAUGGAAGAAUUAAUCAGUGUAGUGCUAGGAGCACUUGAGAAGCUGCCUCUAGAUGAGAGCUUAACUGCUUCAGGAAUUGUGGAAACUGUCAAACAUCUCCUUGGCAACAGGAGCUUGAAAGUCUAGGAGAGGGCAAGAACUUUGUUUGAUAGAUGGAUUUAUUUUUAUUUAUU
Molecule: long non-coding RNA, 653 nt
Organism: Magnolia sinica
Lineage: Eukaryota; Viridiplantae; Streptophyta; Magnoliopsida; Magnoliales; Magnoliaceae
Exons: 3
Source: RefSeq, a predicted model, not a curated record